CCUACGGGCGGCAGCAGUGAGGAAUAUUGCUCAAUGGACGAAAGUCUGAAGCAGCGAAGUAGCGUGAAGGAUGACUGCCCUAUGGGUUGUAAACUUCUUUUAUAUGGGAAUAAAAUGUUCCACGUGUGGGAUUUUGUAUGUACCAUAUGAAUAAGGCACGGCUAACUCCGUGCCAGCAGCCGCGGUAAUACGGAGGAUCCGAGCGUUAUCCGGAUUUACUGGGUUUAAAGGGAGCGUAGGUGGAUUGGUAAGUCAGUUGUGAAAGCUUGCGGCUCAACCGGAAAAUUGCAGUUGAAACUGGCAGUCUUGAGUACAGUAGAGGUGGGCGGAAUUCGUGGUGUAGCGGUGAAAUGCUUAGAUAUCACGAAGAACACCGGUGGCGAAGGCAGUUCACUGGACUGCAACUGACGCUGAGGCUCGAAAGUGUGGGUAGCAAACAGGAUUAGAUACCCUGGUAGUC
RNAcentral lists this ribosomal RNA (460 nucleotides) under uncultured bacterium. RNAcentral describes it as "partial 16S ribosomal RNA". It matches the Rfam family "Bacterial small subunit ribosomal RNA", at positions 338 to 795 of the family's 1533-position model. The record is from RNAcentral.